RNAcentral lists this transfer RNA (85 nucleotides) under Felis catus (domestic cat). It matches the Rfam family "tRNA". Rfam says of the family: Transfer RNA (tRNA) molecules are approximately 80 nucleotides in length. Their secondary structure includes four short double-helical elements and three loops (D, anti-codon, and T loops). Lineage: Eukaryota; Metazoa; Chordata; Mammalia; Carnivora; Felidae. The record is from Rfam by way of RNAcentral.
GCCUGGGUAGCUCAGUCGGUUGAGCGUCUGACUUCAGCUCAAGUCAUGAUCUCGCAGUUUGUGGGUUCGAGCCCCACAUUGGGCU